GACGAACGCUGGCGGCGUGCUUAACACAUGCAAGUCGAGCGGUAAGGCCCUUUCGGGGGUACACGAGCGGCGAACGGGUGAGUAACACGUGGGUGACCUGCCCUCAGCUCUGGGAUAAGCCUGGGAAACCGGGUCUAAUACCGGAUAUGACCCCAUGACGCAUGUUGUGGGGUGGAAAGCCUUGUGCGGCUGAGGAUGGGCCCGCGGCCUAUCAGCUUGUUGGGUGGGGUGAUGGCCACCAAGGCGACGACGGGUAGCCGGCCUGAGAGGGCGACCGGCCACACUGGGACUGAGACACGGCCCAGACUCCUACGGGAGGCAGCAGUGGGGAAUCUUGCGCAAUGGGCGAAAGCCUGACGCAGCGACGCCGCGUGA
RNAcentral lists this ribosomal RNA (375 nucleotides) under uncultured bacterium. RNAcentral's name for it is "bacterial SSU rRNA". It matches the Rfam family "Bacterial small subunit ribosomal RNA", at positions 28 to 404 of the family's 1533-position model. The record is from RNAcentral.